Molecule: ribosomal RNA, 253 nt
Filed under: uncultured bacterium
Lineage: Bacteria
Description: partial 16S ribosomal RNA
Rfam family: Bacterial small subunit ribosomal RNA
Source: RNAcentral
UACGUAGGGUGCAAGCGUUAAUCGGAAUUACUGGGCGUAAAGCGUGCGCAGGCGGUUUUGUAAGUUUGUCGUGAAAUCCCCGGGCUCAACCUGGGAAUGGCGAUGAAGACUGCAAGGCUAGAAUCUGGCAGAGGGGGGUAGAAUUCCACGUGUAGCAGUGAAAUGCGUAGAUAUCAAGAGGAACACCAGUGGCGAAGGCGAGUCCCUGGACAAUACCUGACACUGAGGCACGAAAGCCGGGGGAGCAAACAGG